AAAUGAUGCAUUAGCUAGUGAUAUACAUCUCCAGCAGGAUAGUGCAUAGAAGUGACCACAUCUUAUGAGUUUUCAGUUUUGAUCCAAUUAAAAAUAUUAAACUUCAGGUCGAUAAUUGGGUUAGAGAAAGAUACAGUUAGAGAUCAAGACUCCAGUAGGGGAUGUGAAGCAGUCACAGCAAAUUGAUUGUUAUGAGCCAAUCGUAAACUAGAAUAAACUCAGGCUCAUUUCUCCAUCAUUGUCCAUUAGGUUUUGUUGGGUGUACAAAAGGGUAUUAUCGGAAAAUAAUCAAAAUAUGCUGGGUUUAGUUAGUGAUUUUAUAAUUUCGCUGGGUGUUUUCAGUUUAUUGGGUCUAUUUAGUUAUUUGUUGGGUACAUUUUAUAUAUAUAUAUAUAGUAUUACUCACCCUAACAUUUGUUUGUUUCGUGGAGAUCAUGAAUAAACAUCAGGAAAGGAAAGUGCUUCAUUUCCUACGUUUGGGAAUGCAAAAGAAAAUGAACCAUUUUCUUAAGUGAAGGGAAAACGUGAGAGAAAGUAGUUCCUUCUAAAAUCCAAAAGAACCUACUUUUUUUUUUCUUUCUUUCCCAGCAUUUAUUGCUUACAACAUAAUAUUUUAAUGGCUAGUGUUAUUAACACACUCUUUGUCUUAUUAACACUAACCUAUUUUAAUAUAUAAAUUAACAACUUCUUCAAUAACUUUCCUUGUGUUACCAAACAACGCAACGAAAAGUUCUUAGAAAAUCUCAUUCUCACUCUCUUUCCCUUCCCACGGGAAAGAGGAAAAAACUACUUCUUUUCCACGAACCAAACAAGGCCUAAGAUUAACCAAUACUUAAUUAAUAGUAAUUAACUUUACAUAUUUUUUUUUUGAUAGAAUUAACUUUACAUAUAUGGUAUAAAUAUGUUUGCCAUGCAAUGAGUGCAAUCACCAUUAUCAUUUAUAGUAGUGGGAGCUGAUGAGCUUCUGGUUUUUUUUCCAUCCCCACAUCCGUGACAAUAGUUCUCUCCCAAAACAAAACAAAAAGAAUAUAUCAUAUAUAAAAGAACUGAUCGAUCAAAAAUUGAUAUAUAACAAGAAGAUGGCGAUCAACUUCUAGUGCGGCAUAAAUCAUCUUAAUAGCUCAUAGUAGUAUUAUUAGGUAUCUACUAAAGGUGAAUUCAUCAGCAGCUUCUAAAUGUUACAAUGCGUCGAUCAAAAACAUUACUCAAAGAACGUAUCAAAGGGAUUCCACAUUGAUCUACAGAUGUUAUGCGGAAGUUGUCAAGACCCACCCCAAAUUUCAUCCUAAAACUCGAGAUAAGUCCUGCGGGGUUCACCUCUAAGAAAAAUUUACCAAAAAAUCGGUAUAACCUCCCUUGAAAAUGAACAACCCUCACCUGAAAAAUCCAGAUAAACAUGUUACACCUCAUUUUAUAAUUUUUUUUUUUUUUUUUUAAGGUGUAACUCAUAUUUCAAUUAUAGAAUAGAAUUUCCAUAAUCAAAAUAAUAAAAAAAAUUGGAAAAGAACAACUCAACACCAACUAACUAAAAUUUUAUUCUUUAUUAUAAAAAGUGACUUACUGAGAUAGACUUAAGAAAGUCUACAUCUUAUUCUAAGGGAAAACCAACAACACACAUAUUUUAUAGGAAAUUAAAAAGAAACAUCCUUGCAAGAAACCAACUUCAAACAACUUGUUUAUUACCUACAAAAUAUUUAAAAGGGGUGAGCAUAAAUAGCCCAAUAGGAGGCAAAACCUUUUCAAACAAUACAAUACCAGUCAAAAUAGACAACAUGUAUGUAUAUGUAUAAUCUGCCCCAUAUAGUUCAUAUAACAAAAUACUUCAAGCCUANNNNNNNNNNNNNNNNNNNNAUACACACAAAAGAUUAAAACCAACAAUGCAGAAAAUCAGUUAAAAUUUCUAAGUCGUCACAAAACACUCCUAUCAUAAUCCAACCAUCCUCAACUCAUGGCGUCAUCCGCUACCCUCAAACACAUCCACCACAAAAUAACAAUAAAACCAUCUUCCAAUCCAUCAAAUAAAUAUCCAACUAAUAUAACAUACAUCACUCUUCGAAUAUUCUAAAAUGUAUUCAUAAGUCUUAACACACAACCGAGAUAUCAUACAUUAUCAAGGUAAUCAGAGCUACUAAACACUAGAGGAAGCAAAAAAAUAUACUGGUAGGUUAAACAGGUAACCUACUGGUGAAAAGUGGUGGAGAUAUGGGUAACUAUGUCUUGUCUCCUACUAGUACCGCCCUGAACUCUGUAGACUGGACAUUUUAAAACGAAAUGCCCAGGGGAAAACAAUCGAAAACAUUAGAGUGAGCGGACAAAAAUAAAAUGAUUAAAUAAAAAUAAUUAUGUUUUCCCAAUUUAAUUUCCAUAGAAAUUAUGCUGUAUGCGACAGCUCAAAAACUUUUAACUUAAAAGUUAACAAAAUUGUGACUAGCCUCGCUUGUCUCUCAUACUUUGUAAUAAAGAGCCUCUCAGGCUAAACUAUAAAUAUUUAUAUAUGUAUGUAUUUACACUCGUUAUAUUCCUUGUAUAAAUUCUAUGAAAAAAAUAAGAAAAAUAGAAAUUCAUACAAGGCUACGACGCUUGCGUCUAACGCUCACGUCGCGCCAUAAUGAAAUUUUACCUCAUUAUGACGGAAAAACACGUAUGGCUAGUUAGCAUUUAUAUACAUAUUAUCCUCAUAAUUAUCCAUAUAUAAAUAUAUAUUCACCGAAACUCUCACUUUCGGUUAUUCUCCAACAAUAAAUAAAAUCGUCAAAUUAAAAUGACGUUAUAUGCUCCAACCAAAAGAAAUUGAUCAACAAUAAACCAUUUGCAUGCAUAUUAUUUAAAACAAAAGUCCACUCACAAAUUUUAGGCCUAAGUCUGAUGUCGAUCUGAGGCAUCUUCUGCCCGAGCCUUCUUACGUCCUGUUCCAAAUAUAUAAUUAAAUCCCCAACUAAAAAUCAACACUUAUAUAAAAAUAGGCAAAAAUUAAAUGUGAGCUUUAACACGCUCAUCCUUGCCUAACUUCGUUAUUCUUAAUUUGAUACGGUCCAAACUUCACCACAAAUACCGGCAACAUUAAUAUAACCCUAUACAGUUUUAACAACAUUAAUCCAACGGCCGGAUUCUACCCCAUUAAUCACCAAAUCACCGAUCUUUGAAAAAUCCCAAAACUUAUCCAAAACUCCUCCAAAAUUCCAAACUUCACAUCAAUAGACUCCCCUUAAAAUAACACAUUUAAAACCCUGAAAAACCCCCUAACAGAGGCGUUUGCUCCGCCAGCCGACUCCGGCGACCGCCAAUGCCUACCAAAAUUUAACAGCUCUCAACCCACUCUACAACUUUCCUAACUAGCACAAGAUCCAAUUCCAAGCUUAACUAGGCCAAUCGAACAAAAACACAACCAAGAACCCUAGAAAUUCAACUCAACGUUUCUCCUUACCUAGCUCAAGAGGGAGUGAAUACUUUUGAGGGAUUGCCGCACGGGAGGAGAGCUUCCUAUUGAGCCAAGUAUCUUCGGCUAUGGCGGCCGGAGGAGGGAGUUCCGGCGACGGAUCACCACGGACAGUCGAACCUUUCGGGAGCGUUUUCUCUCUCACGGCGGCACUAGGGAGGCUGCCACCGGUCCAGGAAGGAAGCUAGGUCGAGGGCCGACCGUUUGGGACCGGUGUGGCGGUCGGAGUUGGCCAGACAGCGGCAGACGAGAGUGGGGAACUUCCGGCAACGAGAGAGAGAGAGAGAGAGAGAGAGAGAGAGAGAGAGAGAGAGAGAGAGACGANNNNNNNNNNNNNNNNNNNNAGAGAGAGAGAGAUAGAUCGUCGGGAAGGAAGAGAGAAAAGAGAGAAAAGAAAAAUGUUGGGCUUCCCCAACCGGUUCCUAACCCAUACCAAUAAAAACCCAACUCCAAAAAUUAACACCCCAAAAAUAAUACCCUAAUAAAAAUUACCUUUUACUAGCUAAAAUUUACUUUUUUCACCUUCUUCAAAUAUUUCUCUUACAAAUAAUUUCUCUGAUAUAAUCGUCCCUCAAAACACCUUUAGGAACCUUUGAAACUAUAAACUCAUUGACGAAGACGGUAAACCUCAUAUUAAUACUAAGCUAGUAAAUAAGGUAAAAAUUUAAGAGUCAAGAUGUAACAGAAGCGGCUGACGGGCCCCGAGGGUCCCACACACACAUGUCCAAUAAUGUUGAUACUCCCCUCACUUUAGUUACCCAGACAAGAAACGAGUAUGAAGUUUUUAACACAAAAUGUCUCAGCAUUAGUGUGUGUGGUACCAUUUGUUCGGGUCGGAUUUUAAGUCCUUCGAACAACCGUUUGGUGCGAGCAUGCCAACACCUUGAGGAGGUGUGCUUAUCUUGAUCAUGUUCUUUCGCGCACUUCUCUUGACUUUUUCUCAAACAACUGUGAACAGGAACGGUCGGUCCUGCUGCUAGAGCUAUUCACAACGACCUAGGACAGAUCCUUAGAUUUACUCAGUGACAAAUACAAAUAAAAUAAAGGAUAUUUGCUAAGGAUCGCUCCUUAACAAUGGGAUGGACUUGUGCUAGCCUGGAGAGGCUUUUUUGGUAGGUUGGGUGCUCCUGGGAGGCGUCCAAUUUGCAGUGAUGCAUAGUUUUGUUGAAUUUUCGGGGGGUGUUCUCAUUGGCCUUAACCUCCUUAUAUAGAGAACUGAGUGGCUAGGGUUCGCGAAUGACUUGUCUCCAAAGCAAUCGAAUCUCUAAUUGAACCGAGAAAGAUACUUUCCUAACCGAGCCUUCUGACAUUAUAUCUUCGAGAUAUCCUGCAAAUCUUCUGUCAGUAAUUACCCAAUGUAACAGGAAAGAAAUAAAGAUAAUUGGACCGUUUGCAUUGGUCCAUGGGCUAACUCACUUGUAAGCUAACAAAUAUAAAACUGGGCCCAAACACCAUUUUUUAUAACCCAAAGAUGACUCUUUAACGUUUCCGAUAUGGGAUUCCAAAUGGCUCAUAUAUAAGCCACACUUAUUUUCAAUAACAAAUUAAUAGCUAGUUUGGUGAGUUAAGCCCACUGUUUAGGUUUCCUCGACUAGCACCACACCGAUCAACAGUGCAAUGCACUGUGGUGUUAGGUCUUUGUUGUCAAAGAGUCCACCCUAUCUAGCCAGGUUAUCUAAUAAGUAGAACUGUAGAAUAUGGAUCCAUCAUUUCCUAUCCUUAAUUCAUCUUGAUUAUAUAUCAGUUUGUAGUAUCUUAAUAAUGGUCUUUUAGAUUUCUAAUUCUAGUAAUAUAUUGCCUAAGUUCAUUAUAUAUAUAUAUAUAUAAUUCCCUUCAAGAGUGGCAUACCUCUCUGAAAUUAAAAUGUGUGCUCCUCAUUUCGCUCAUUUUUAUGUCACAUUUUCAUAUCUCCACCGUUCAGUGUGUAGAUCAUUCCUGCAAAGUUUCAUCCAAUUUGGAGAUCAUUUGAGCUUCUGUAAUUGUGAUUUACACGAACGGUUCCGUUUGAACAGAUUUUGUUCAGUUGAUUCAUUUAAUCUAAUUCGGUACCCAAAUGAUUUCCAAAUUGGAUGAAACGUUGCAGGAAUGAUCUACACAUUAUGUUCUAGAAACUGAAUGGUGGAGAUGUGAAAAUGUAAUAUAAAAAUGAGCCAAAUAAGAAGUUUCACACUUUAAUCUCAAAGUGGUGUCCCGCUUUAGAUAGGAACUAUAUAUAUAGGCCGGAUCACAAAUGUAAUAGUCGCAACGGAUAUAAGGGUCGUAACAGAUCGAUGUAGUGGUUGUAACAGACGUAACAGUCCUAACAGUCGUAACCCCUUUCACUUCUCGUUCAGCCUCAAACUUCGAAACCAUCAUGGACUCAGGGCGGCGCGUGUGCACCACUAACAUGCUCGAUCGGAUGCGCCACCGCCACUAAGAAUUGCCCGACACCACCGUCUGGCAUUACCAAACCCAACUGAUACUCACACCGCUCGGAUAUUUUAUUUUUCCCUUGUGAUGUCCCAAAACGAGGUAGAAUACUAGAAUUCAAAUCUGAGACCUCGUACGUCAUAUUUUUUUAAAAUACAGGUUGAUUAAUUCUAUCUUGGCAAUUAAAUACCUACUAGAUUACCUGUUAAAAAAAAAAAACCUACUAGAUUAUUAUUUUCCAACAUUAGUCAUGAUGACCCUUGCCCUUUGGACCUUAUGAAGUUCCAAUUAAG
RNAcentral lists this long non-coding RNA (6138 nucleotides) under Fragaria vesca (wild strawberry). Its description in RNAcentral is "long non-coding RNA (FVES_LNC001484)". Lineage: Eukaryota; Viridiplantae; Streptophyta; Magnoliopsida; Rosales; Rosaceae. The record is from RNAcentral.